This 253-nucleotide ribosomal RNA is filed under the name uncultured bacterium. Its description in RNAcentral is "partial 16S ribosomal RNA". It matches the Rfam family "Bacterial small subunit ribosomal RNA", at positions 524 to 776 of the family's 1533-position model. The record is from RNAcentral.
UACGUAGGGAGCAAGCGUUGUCCGGACUCAUUGGGCGUAAAGCGCGCGUAGGUGGCCUCAUAAGUCCGCUGUGAAAGUCAAAGGCUCAACCUUUGAAAGCCGGUGGAUACUGUGGGGCUAGAGUACGGAAGAGGCGAGUGGAAUUCCUGGUGUAGCGGUGGAAUGCGCAGAUAUCAGGAGGAACACCAAUAGCGAAGGCAGCUCGCUGGGACGUUACUGACACUGAGGCGCGAAAGCGUGGGGAGCGAACAGG